Molecule: long non-coding RNA, 17467 nt
Filed under: Homo sapiens (human)
Lineage: Eukaryota; Metazoa; Chordata; Mammalia; Primates; Hominidae
Description: non-protein coding HNF1A-AS1:8
Source: RNAcentral
ACUCCAGCCUCCUUGCAAGCUUGGGGCGCCUCAUUCUCUCCCGUGCCCCUUCUCCCAGCUGGGUCUGAGCCCCCGCCCCCCUGGCUCCUCCGUUCUGCUUCUCCCAGCUUCUCUGUCCAUCUCCCCCAAUGGCCUCUCUCUACACUCUCUGCCUCAGCUUCCAGGUCUCUGCUGGUCCCUAGGAAGCACUUUGACCUCUGCUUCCCCUUCAAAUGCUGUGGAUCAAGCCUCCCCAACCCCACCAUCCCACCAAAGGGGGCUGCUGACCGAGAGAGCUCACUCAGCCAGAGCCAGAUUCUUACUCUGUCACCCAGGCUGGCAUGAUCAUAGCUCACUUCAGCCUAGAACUCCUGGCUUCAAGCAAUCCUCCCACCUCAGCAUCCCAAGUAGCUGGAACUACAGGUACGCACCAUCAUGCCCAGCUUCAUUUAUAUAUUUAUCUUUUUUGUUUGUUUUUUGAGACAGGGUCUCCUUCUGUCGCCCGAGCUGGAGUGCAGUGGCACAAUCUUGGCAAACUGCAACCUAUGCUUCUGGGGCUCCCGUGAUCCUCCCACCUCAGCCUCUCCAAUAGCUGGGACUACAAGCGUGUGCCACCAUGCCUCGCUAAUUUUUGUAUUUUUUAGUAGAGACAAGAGUUUGCCACAUUGCCCAGGCUGGUCUCAAACUCCUGAGCCCAAGCCAUCUGCCCACCUCGUCCUCCCAAGGUGCUGGGAUUACAGGGGUGAGCCACUGCACCCUGCCUAUUUAUUUACUUUUCUUAGAGAUGGGGGUCUUGCUUUGUUGCCCAGGCUGGUCUCGAACUCCUGGGCUCAAGCAAUCCUCUCACCUCAGCCUCCCAAAGUGUUGGGAUUACAGGCAUGAGCCAUCUCACCUGGCCAGUAAUGUAUUUCACUCCAAGAACAACUCAUGAAUUAGGAACUGUUAUAAUCCCCCUUCUGCAGGGGAGGAAAGAGAGGCUCAGAGAGGUUAAAUGACUGCUCAGAGUCCCUCAGAGCUGGGCUUUAAGUCCACCUGAGGCAGGCGGACGGGCUGUGCAGGACAAGUUGGCAGCCCCCGCCUUAAGGAGAGUGGUACCCUCUUUCCUCCAGUGCAUUUAUGUUUUAUUUUUAUUUUUGAGACAGAGCCUCACUUUGUCACCCAGGCUGGAGUACAGUGGUGCGAUCUCAGCUCACUGUAACCUCUGCCUCCUGGGUUCGAGCAAUCCUCCUACCUUAGCCUCCUGAGUAGCUGGGACUACAGGCACACACCACCAUGCCUGGCUAAUUUUUGUAUUUUUGGUAGAGACAGGGUUUCACCAUGUUUGCCAGGCUGGUCUCAAACUCCUGGCCUCAAAAGAUCCACCCACCUCGGCCUCCCAAACUGUUGGGAUUAUAGGCGUGAGCCACCGUGCCCGGCCAAGUGCAUUUUUUUGUAAACCCCCGUGCAAGUUGCUUUGAGGUUGAGCAGCUUACUGCUGGGGACAGCAUUCUCAAGUCCAGGCUAAACAGGGAAGAUGCUGUGUGCUGUCCCUUUGUGGCUUUGAGGUUCUCCUGCUUAUUCUCUUUGCUGCCUGCAGCUGCCUCUUGGUGACUUUCCCUUUCCAGGGAGCCAGAGGAACCAAGGAGUGUUGGCCCUGACUCCUGCCCCCAGCAUGUAAACUCAUUAACUGCUGGGUCCUCAGGCAGUUAGGUGGCUGAGCAUUUGAGUCUGGGACGGCAGGUGGAUUUGGUUGGAGAGGGAAUGACAGAGAUUGGGGAGGAGCCUCCAGAGUCUAAAGAGAUAGGUACACAAGCAGAAAGUUCCAGCCCCCAGCCUGCCUUUCCCCCAUGCUCAGGGGACAAAGCUGAAUUAACUCGAGGUCAGGAAUGGCAUUUGCAUUUGCAUUCUUGAGAGUCACUGCAAAUAAGAGCUGUAGUCAUGGUGAGUGGUUAAGGCAAUGGACUAGAGAACCACUGAGAAAAAAAGCGAACAGUGGCUGGGCGCAGUGGCUCAUGCCUGUCAUCCCAGCACUUUGGGAGACCGAAGUGGGUGGAUCACUUGAGGUCAGGAGUUCGAGACCAGCCUGGCCAACAUGGUGAAAACCCGUCUCUACUAAAAAUACAAAAAUUAGCCAGGCUUGUCAGUGGGCACCUAUAAUCCCAGCUAGUCGGAAGGCUGAGGCAGGAGAAUCACUUGAACCCAGAAGGCAGAGGUUGCAGUGAGCUGAGAUCAUGACACUGCACUCCAGCCUGGGUGACAGAGAGAAACUCCGUCUCAAAAAAAAAAGAAAAAGAAAAAAAAAAAAAGGAACAGCCGGACAUGGUAGCUCAUACCUGUAAUCCCAGCGCUUUGGGAGACCGAGGCAGGUGGAUCACCUGAGGUCAGGAGUUCCAGAUCAGCCUGGCCAACAUGGUAAAACCCCAUCUCUACUAAAAAUACAAAAAUUAGCUGGAUGUGGUGGCGCACACCUGUAGUCCCAGAUACUCAGGAGGCUGAGGCAGGAGAAUAGCUUGAACCCGGGAGGCGGAGGUUGCAGUGAGCAGAGAUCACGCCACUGCACUCCAGCCUGGGCGAUAGAGUAACAAUCCGUCUCAAAAAAAUCUGAAAAUUAAAAAUUAAAAAGUGAACAGUUGUUUAGUAAGUGCAGUAGGUAGGCCAAGAUAACUAUUAAGUAUGUCCUAACAAGGUAGCUGCUUGAAAAAAAUAAUGCACAUAAAUUAAAAAAAAAAAAACUAUUUUCACUCAUUCUUAACUUCUCGUAUGGAUGUACUAACGGGAGGCCUGUGCCUGUUGGGCUGUCCACAGCUACUCAAACCUUGAGAUUAGAUUGGACGCUAUCUAAUCUCAUUUCCUGUUACACAAUAACUUCUGCAUGGCACUUGCUUUUAAUCAUGACAACUGCCAUACACUCAGCUUUACAAAAUCAUGUCAUUGUGGAAAGGAAGUUCCCUCCAUCUAACAUUCAAAUUUAACUAUCCUGAGCUGGUAGUUUGCAAGGUGUCCAACAGAUGUCACUGUGUUUCCUUCGCAAAUUCUCUAAAAUAGUCUGCUGUGUCCCGGGGCAUAGUAGAUAUUCAAGAAAUGGUGGCUAUGAGUUUUAUCACAAUUCUCUCCUACUGGGUGAGCAGCUGUUUGCAAGACUAAAAUUCGGGCGAGGCACAGGCUUCCCCUUGGUCUUAGCAGCUAGCACAAGACGAGUGUCCCUUCAGCCAGUCUCAGAGCUCUUUGGCAAUUCAACUGACCCUUGUCCUUCAGUCCAGACAAUGCCCCAGGGCCCACCUGCAUUCAAACUCGGACUGUUCUCCUUCCCACCCCUAUUAUCUUUUCAACUUUAUGGACAGUACAUGCAAUUUUCUCAUUCAUUUUCUCAUUUAACAUCUAACAGCUUCAUGAUAUCCCCAUUUUACAGAUAAGGAAACCAAGGCUUUAAGAGGAUAGGGACCCUAAUCGGCUAAGGCAGAAUUAGGAUUUGAACCCAGAUCCCCAUGACGCCAGAAUCUAAGCCUUGACCAAAUAUGUGUUACUAUUACUUUUGUUGUUGUUGUUGUUCUGGGUAACUCCAACCCUCUGCUCGUUGGCCUUGUCACCUCAGUGCUGAUUUUGCAGAUGAAGAGACUAAGGUUCCGAGGUGCUAGAGCACAGUGGUUAGGAACACACACUCUAGAGCCAGAGUGCCUGGGUUUGAGCCUCGUUCUGCCGUUUACUAGCCGUAUGGCCUUGGGCAACUUGCUUAACUUCUCUUUGCCUCAGUUCCUCUUCUCUUGGGUUGUUAGGAGAAUGAAUGAGGUGAUAUCCACAGUGUCCAACACCCUGCAAGCGGCCAGGUGUGGUGGAUCACACCUGCAAUCCCAGCACUUUGGGAGGCCGAGGCAGGUGGAUCAUUUGAGGUCAGGAGUUCGAGACCAGUCUGGCCAACAUGGCGAAACCUCAUUUCUACUAAAAAUACAAAAAUUAGCCGGGCGUGGUGGCAAACAACUGUAAUCCGAGCUACUAGGGAGGCUGAGGCAGAAGAAUCGCUUGAACCCAGGAGACAGAGGUUGCAGUGAGCCAAGAUUGCACCACUGCACUCCAGCCUGGGCGACAGAGUGAGACCCUGCCUCAAAAACUAAAAAUAAAAAAUGAACAGUGUCCAACACCUUGAAAGCAUUCCGCAUGACUGAACGAUCACUGUUACGUGAUUACCAACAUGACGACCCCACUUCUCUUGGCCAAACUGAGUUCUCUUCUCUUGUAAAAACUUCUGCAUAUGAAGUCACCCAUUCCAUUUGACUCUUUAGCCCUCAUCCUGGCAUUCAAGGGCAUGGACGACUCAACCCCACUCUCUAGCCAGCCUGACCUCUCCAUUCCCUUCUCUGGCGUAGAGGCCACUCCCACCACCUGCCCUUACCCCCUGCCCACUUUUGUCAGCCUGUACUGUGUUGAAGCUCCCAGGAGAGACAACUGCAGUCAUCACUUUCCACUGUGUUCAGUGAUGUCAGUUCGGCCCAGCUGGAGGUACUCACAUCAUGGAAACAGACCAUCAGAUUUGGUGUGUGUGUGUUUUAUUUUGCUUUUUCAGAGAGCCAGCUGUUAAACACUAGCCAACACCCCAUUGAUGCUGUUCCUUCUACCUGAAACACCUCGCAUUGCCGGUGAGCUCUAAAGACAAAAGGACCUGGGUCUGCAUUUCCCAAAGGCAAGACUCUGGUAUCACCUGCAUAUUAUUUUCCCAUAUUUGAGCACCACUGCCUUUUGCAUUAUUUACUUAGCAGUUUUGCUCCUGUCAACUCACUUUUUUAAAACUAAACUUAUUUUAAAAAGAAAAGUUUUGGCCGGGAGCGGUGGCUCAUGCCUGUAAUCCCAGCACUUUGGGAGGCCGAGGUGGGCAGAUCACCUGAGGUCGGGAGUUCGAGACCAGCCUGACCAACAUGGAGAAACUCCGUCUCUACUAAAAAUACAAAAUUAGCUGGGCGUGGUGGCGCAUGCCUGUAAUCCUAGCUACUCGGGAGGCUGUGGCAGGAGAAUUGCUUGAACCCAGGAGGCGGGGGUUGCAGUGAGUCGAGAUCGCCCCAUUGUACUCCAGCCUGGGGAACAAGAACGAAACUCCGUCUCAAAAAAAAAAAAAAAAAAGAAAAAGAAAAGAAAAGCUUUAUAUAAUUUUAAUACUCAAAAAAACAGUAUCCCGGCCAGGCACAGUGGCUCACACCUGUAAUCCCAGCAAUUUGGGAGGCCAGGCAGGAGGAUCACUUGAGGCUAGGGGUUCAAGACCACUUGAGGCUAGGGCCAACAUGGUGAGACCCCGUCUCUACUAAAAAUACAAAAAUUAGCCAGGCAUAGUGGCACGUGCCUGUAAUCCCAACUACUCGGGUGGCUGAGGAACAAAAAUCACCUGAAUCCAGGAGGCGGAGGUUGCUGCGAGCCGAGAUCGUGCCACUGCACUUCAGCCUGGGUGACGGAGUGAGACUCUGUCUCAAAAAAAGAAAAAGAAAAAGAGUAUCCCUUGCCAUAAAUAGCAAGCAGUCAUUCAGACAUGGAAAUGAGGCAUUCACACUUGUUCUUGUUUCACACUAAGGCCCUAAGCCUAAGGAGGGUUUCUCUAUGUUGAAAGGAAAUUAGGCAGUGUUCAGAGGGGUGUUAAAGAUAGACUAGCAACUAAUUGAAACUUUCUCCUCAAUGUAAGCACUUUAGAAGGGACUGAAAAGAGAAUGUUCUCCCUACAUGUACCAUAUCACCUACAAUUACCUCGUGUACCACUAUUUUGCAAAUAAAUGCCAGAGGCAAGAGUACAUUUUGAUGCUUUAGCCUAGCACUCAAAGCCCUCCUCGAUUUGAAUCUUUCCAGCCUCAUCUUGCACAGCCCCUCCAUACCCAGACCUCACCCACUCUAUUUGCCAUCUCCAGAACAUACCCCUAACUUUCUCACCUCUGUGCCUUUGUGCAAGCUGCUCCCUCUACCUGGAAACCUCCAUUUGUCAAGCUGCUGCUGUCUUCAAGAUCUACCUGGUCAGAAUCUCCUGCUGUCCUCUUCUGCCACCCACAGCAAUGUGAGCCUUCACUGGCUGGCCUUCCCUACUCACUGGAGCAGAGCUACGGCAUCAGAAUGCCCUGGAGCAGGGGUUAGAAACACAGAUUUCUGAGUCUACACUCGAAGAUUUUUUUUUCUUUCUUUCUUUUUUUUUGUUUUCCAAUUUUUCUAAUUUUAGAGAUGGGGUCUCACCACGUUGCCCAGGCUGGUCUCAAGCUCCUGGACUCAGGUCAUCCUACCACCUAGGCCUUCUAAAGUGUUAGGAUGAGCCCUGAACCUUGUAACAUGAACAUUUAUUAGUUAUAUCUGGAAAAAAAUAUAAAGUUAUUUUUAUUUGGGUGAUACUGCCUUCAAAAAACAAAAACAAAAAAAAACAGGAGGCCGAGCACAGUGGCUCAUGCCUGUAAUCCCAGUGCUUUGGGAGGCUGAGGCAGGCGGAUCACUUGAGACCAGGAGUUCAAGACCAGCCUGGCCAACAUAGUGAAACCCCGCUUCUAUUAAAAAUACAAAAAUGGGCCAGGCACGGUGGCUCAUACCUGUAAUCCCAGCACUUUGGGAGGCCGAGGCGAGUGAAUCACGAGGUCAAGAGAUCAAGACCAUCCUGGUAAACAUGGAGAAACCCUGUCUCUACUAAAAAUACAAAAAUUAGCUGGGCACGGUGUCACGUGCCUGUAGUCCCAGCUACUAGAGAAGCUGAGUCAGCGGAAUCGCUUGAACCCAGGAGGUAGAGGUUGCAGUGAGCUGAGAUUGCACCACUGCACUCCAGCCUGGGCGACAGAGUGAGACUCUGUCUCAAAAAAAAAAAAAAAAAAAUUAGCCAAGUGUGGUGGCACAUGCCUGUAAUCCCAAUUACUCGGGAGGCUGAGGCAGAAGAAUUGCUUGAACCUGGGAGGUGGAGGUUUCAGUGAGCCAAGAUCGCACCACUGCCCUCCAGCCUGGGCAAUAGAGCAAGACUCCAUCUCACAAAAUAAAAAGCCAAAAAAAGCUCUCGACAGUUCUGUUCCCCGCCUGAGGUGUUUGUCUCAGGAUCCCGGCCUGGCUGUGGGCCACAGAUGGCAAAAACCAAGGUCCGUCUAUUACUGGGCAUCCAGGGUUUCAUAAUCUCUACGACCUCCAUGCCUGGAACUCCACACAUUGCGCAUGCCCCAGAAACGCUUGCCCAACGGACCCCAAUCCACCAUUUCUGAAUGCAUUUUUCAUGACUUGCUGAAUGUGUCUUGUUAAUCCAAUUAGAUUGUAAACUCCGGGAGUGCAGGGACAACGUUGACCUUCCUAUUACUCCCCUCACCCCCGCCCAGCUCUGGGCUGGGCACACAGUGACCCUCAAGGGUAGCACAAAGACUUGAGGCAAGAAAAACACCUGUAGAAGGAAAAGGCUGGAUACUGGGAGCGCCUCUGUCUGCUUUGCUGCCAUCCUCUUCUUCAACAACAAAGGACACGCUAAUUCUAUGCAGCAAAAGUUUCCAAACACGUUAGCCUAAGAAUUUCGAGUCAUGCAAAAAAUAAAUUCCCAGAGUCACAGGGUUAAAAAAAAUCAGAUUCCAGGGCCCCAUCCUUGUUGUUCCUGAGUCAGACUCCCCAGUCAAACUGCCAGAGAACCUCGUCUUUGAACAAACACUUCAGGCAACUUUCCCAGGAUAAAGCAAGUUUCAGAAACUCUCACACAGCUUCUUAGGUAUCUCAGAUAUGGCUCUUGCCCUCCAGAUGUUUACAAAUGAAAACAAGAAAUCUGGUUCCAACAAGCAAAAGCCCAGAGAGACCUCAAACACAAAGAUGCAAAUCAAAAUUAGUAGAGAAAUAAAUGAGCCGGGACGUUGUACUUCGGUCGCGGGGCUGGCUGAGGUCACUACCUGCACAGCCGACUGUUGGAAGUUCUGCGGUAUACCAGCUGAAUGGCCUUGAACAAGUCCCAUCUCCACUCGGAGCCUCCGUUUCCGCAUCUGUAGAAUGGGGAUAUGUGGGCCUAACUCACAGCGUUGUGAGAAUUCAACAAGAACACAUCAAGCAGCUGUGAAUGUAGCAAGCCGGCAUUUGAUUAAAUGUUAGUUUUCGUCCUAAGAAAAAUAGCUAAUAUUUCUGAGCACUUACGGCCGAGCCCUGAGCUAACAUUUACUUCCUCCUUUAACUCCCACAACAACCCAAUGAGGUAGGAUCUAUUAUUAUCCCCAUUUCACAGAUGCGGAAAUUAAGACACAGAAAGGUUAAAAAAAAAACACGCACAGGCCAGGCGUGGUGGAUCACCCCCUGUAAUCUCAGCACUUUGGGAGGUGGAGCCUGGAGGAUCGCUUGAGGCCAGGAGUUUGAGACUAGCCUGGGCAACAUAGCAAGACCCUGUCUCUAUAAAAAAAAAUUUAAAGCUGAGUGCAGUGGCUCACGCCUGUAACCCCAACACUUUGAGAGGCUGAGGCAGGUGAACUCUUGAGCCCAGGAAUUCAAGACCAAACUGGGCAGCAUAGUGAGACCCUGUCUCUUAAAAAAAAAAAAAUCAGCUGGGCGUGGUGGUGCAUGCCUGUGAUCCCAACUACUCGGGAGGCUGAGGUGGGAGGAUCGCUUGAGCCCAGGAGUUUGAGGUCUCAGUGAGCUAUGAUUGUGCCAUUGCGCUCCAGCCUGCACAACAGAGAAAGGUCUGUCUUAAAAAAAAAAAAAAAAAGAAAAGAAAGAAAAGAAAAAAGAACCCAACGUCUCCCAACCAGGAAAUGGCAGAGCUGGGAUUAGAGCCUAGAAAACCUAUCCUGUAGCCCCAGGAGGAAAUAGCCUCACGGGAGCAAAACCACCAGGUGUUUAGGACUCAUGAAAAUUAUACAUUGGCUUCUUUGGGAAAAGUGGCCCAUUCAGCUGAGCAGGACCCAAAAUAGCAAAAGGGCCAAGGACAGCCCGCCUGCCCUAGGUGUGGCCCCAGCCAGGAUUCCUAGCCCUGCGAGUUUUCCCAGAUUGGCCAACACACGUCUGAACCCCUGGGAUCAGGAAGUGCCAAUGCCUGGGUCUUGCUAAAGCCAUUUACCGUCGACAGAUAUCCCACCGAUGGCCAAGUGCCAGUUAGUCACGGCCUCAGUGCAGCACCUCAUCCCUCCCAGAAAGCCAUGGCUCUGGACUCCACCCACUGAAAACAGGGCUUUUGUGGGAAUACAAUGGGACAAGAAGAAAAACAUGCUGAACCUGAUCUCCAUGGGACCUGAUGUGGAGUCACGUUCAUUCACAUCACUGGCUUGCAGCCUCUCCACUCACAAGUUAUUGAUAAUCGAAAAAAUAAAACACCAUGCGAUCGUAUUUCUGGGCAGAUAGAAUGCAAGAGCCUGGGGCACUGGUUGUUUCUGGGGAGGGGAAGGGAACCGAGAGACCCAAGAAGAGGGUGGACAAGCUAGGCACGGUGGCUCACCCCUGUAAUCCCAGCAUUUUGGGAGGCCAAGGCAGGCAGACACUUGAGGUCAGGAGUUCGAGAUCACCCUGGCCAACAUGGUGAAACCCUGUCUCUACUAAAAACAUAAAAAUUAGCCAGGCGUGGUGGCAGGUGCCUAUAAUCGCAGCCACUCAGGAGUCUGAGGCAGGGGAAUCACUUGAACCUGGAGGCAGAGAUUGCAGUAACCGGAGAUCGUGCCAUUGCAUUCCAUCCUGGGCGACAGAGCGAAACUCCGUCUCAAAGAAAAAAAUAAAAGGACUAUGAGUGGGAGCAGAUGUAGGGAGAUGCAAGGGACGGAGUAUCAGGAGAACAGUACCUGUUCUGGGCUCUCCGCUAAUCAAACCCAACCACCAGGCAGAGGCAUGGGAGACCCCCACACACAGAGCAGGGUGGAGACAGGAGAAGCGAUCGCAGAAGAGGCCAGACCACCACCCAAUAGAUGUGGGUAACUAUUCAAAACUCAGAUCAUCUGAACAGAAAAAGGUAAAUGCUAUGAGCUAAAAACUUCAAGGUUCUUUGCAUCAGUGCCCUUUUUUUUUUUUCCUGAAGUUAUUUCAAGUUGGAUUUCUACCACUUGCAAACCAAAGAGUCUUGCCGAACAGAGACGGAAACAUGGAAGAUUUCAUUGAAGUGGAAACCUGGCAUUGUAAUUGCCCACUGCUUGUAAAAUUCAGGCCAGUGUGGUGGCUCACGCCUGUAAUCCCAACACUUCGGGAGGCUGAGGUGGGCAGAUCGCCUGAGCCCAGAAGUUCAAGACCAGCCUGGGCAACAUGGCAAGACCCUGUCUCUAUAAAAAAUUUUGGUUUAAAGCUAAGUGCAGUGGCUCACACCUGUAAUGCCAACUCUUUGGGAGGCUGAAGCAGGUUAAUUGCUUGAGCCCAGGAGGUCGAGACCAAACUGGGCAACAUAGUGAGACCCCAUCUCUAAAAAAAGAGAAGAAAAGAAAAUCAGCAGGGAGUGUUGGCACAUGCCAGUGGUCCCAGCUAUUCAGGAGGCCGAGGUGGAAGAAUCACCUGAACCCAGGAAGGUCAAGGCUGCAGCAAGCUGUGAUAGUGCCACUGCACUCCAGCCUGGACAACAGAGCAAGACCCUGUCUCAAAAUAAGUACAUAGGCUGGGCGAGGUGGCUCAUGCCUGUAAUCCUAGCACUUUGGGAGGUCGAGGCGGGCAGAUCAUUUGGGGUAAGGAGUUCGAGACCAGUUUGGCCAACACGGUGAAACCCCGUCUCUACUAAAAAUACAAAAAAAAUUAGCUGGGUGUGGUGGCACAUGCCUGUAAUCCCAGCUACUUGGGGAGGCUGAGGCAGAAGAAUUACUUGAACCUGGGAGACAGAGAUCGCGUCACUGCACUCCAGCCUGGUUGACAGUGCGAGACUCUCAAAAAAAAUUGGCCAGGCAUAGUGGCUCACGCCUGUAAUCCUAGCACUUUGGGAGGCCGAGGUGGGUGGAUCACCUGAGGUCAGGAGUUCGAGACCAGCCUGGCCAACGUGGCGAAACCCCGUCUCUACUAAAAAAUACAAAAAUUAGCUGGGCAUGGUGGCACAUGCCUGUAAUCCCAGCUACUUGCGAGGCUGAGGCUGGAGAAUCACUUGAACCUGGGAGGCAGAGGUUGCAGUGAGCUGAGAUCGCGCCACUGCACUACAGCCUGGGUGACAGAGUGAGACUCUGUCUCAAAAAAAAAAAAAAUCAAUUAAUUUAGCUUAAUUCAGCUGCUUCACCUUGGCCUACAAGGGGCUGGGCCACCCUGUCCAAUCCAUGAUCACCUUUUUCCACUGUCCACCUGCAGUGCACAGCAAGUCGCCUACAGCUCCUCCCAUACCCACAGCCCCUUCCUGCCUGGGACCUUCGCCCAUGCUGUUCCUCCUGCCUGAACCCCUCUCCUAGCUCUUCCUCCCAUCAGCACCUCAUUGUCAUCCCUUCCCUAUCCUGUGGUCUGAAUGUUUGUGUCCUCCCAAAGUUCAUAUGUGGAAUCCUAGCCCCCCAGGUGGUGGUAUUAAGAGGUGGGGACUUUGGGGGCAGGAUUAGUUCCCUUAUCAAAGAGGCCCAAGGGAGCUUGUUUGUCCCUUGCACCAGGUGAGGGCCCCGCAAGAAGGUGCCCUUGCUGGAGAUCCCAGACUCUAUGAGAAAUAUUGUUUAUAAGUAACCCAGUUUAUGUUUUUUUGGUUUUUUGGUUUUUUUUUUUCAAGGUGGAGUCUCGCUCUGUGGCCCAGGCAAUCUCGGCUCACUACAACCUCCGCCUCCCAGGUUCAGGCGAUUCUCCUUCCUCAGCCUUCUGAGUAGCUGGAAUUACAGGCACCCGCCACCAUACCCAUCUAAUUUUUGUAUUUUUAGUAGAGACGAGGUUUCACCAUGUUGGCCAGGCUGGUCUCGAACUCCUGGCCUCAAGCAAUCCUCCCGCCUCGGCCUCCCAAAGUGUUGGGAUUACAAGCAUGAGUCACCAUGCCUGGCCUAUGGUAUUUUUUUAUAGCAGCAGGAACAGACUAAGACAUCCUACUUCUCAGCUUAAACGUCACCUCUGCACAGAGCCCUUCGUGAUACAUCUGAACAGAUUCUUUUCUGUGACUCUCCAUCCCUGCACUGUAUUUGCUCUUUCAGGGUGCUUUUUCACAUUUGUGAGGGUGUAUGCAUCUCCUCUUCCAGGCUGUAAGCUUCAUAAAGUCUCUGUUUUGUUCAUAACUAGAACAAGCCCUAGCACCUAGCAGUGAGUGUUCAUUAAACAUAUGAAGAAUGAAUCAGCGAGUGAUUUCAUGUCUCAUCAUCUCUAAAAAGCCUGUUUGAUCACUUCCAGGACCAGGAAACUCCUGACAUUAUCAAGGAUGCCACUGCAAAGUGAAAUGUCAUAAACAUGUAGGAGUUGAUUCUUUCCAGAAGCUGGCAGUCCAGGACUAGUGUGGGGGCUCCACAGUGUCACCAGAGCUUUGACCUUCCUGCCCUACCAUCUUCAGUGGGUGGCUUCUGUACUCAGGGUUACCUCAUGGUCCAAGAUGGCUGCUGGACUCUAGCCAUUAUAUCCAAAUACCAGGUAGAAUAGAGGACAAAAGCAGUGAACCUCAAGGCUGAGGCUCCUGGAAGCCUCAUACACUUUUACCUACUACAGUCCAUGGAACAUAGUGUAGUCACGGGGCCACACCAAAAUGCAAGAGAGACUGGGAAAUGUCUUCAUUCCAGGCAGCACGAUCUGAAUCUGUUAUUAAGGAAAAAAAUAGGAAGAAUGGAUAUUGGGUAUGUAACUAGCUACAAAUGAUCAUGGCAUCUCCGUUUAUUGAGCACUUAUUAUGUGCUAGACACAGUCCUAAGUACUUAAUAAAUGUGGCCCGGUCAAACAAGAUUGCCCUCUGCCCCCAAGAUUGCCCUCUGCCCCUUCUGUAGCCAGGGACACACACACACACGCACGCACGCAUGUACAGGAGCCAGUUGGGCCUGGCCCCCUUCACUGCGGGUACUGACAUGCGAAGUCUUUGUCAUAUGACUCUGAGCAGGGAGGGAGCAGUGUCCUCUUAGCAUAAUAAGAUCAGGAUUCAUAACAUUAAAUCAAAGUGCUGUAACUCACAGGAAUAUCAGUUUCCUAUUCAGAAGAUAGAGGAGAAUGUUUUCAGAAGGAAAUUGAACUUUAUGGUUUGAAACACGUUUAAUUUUAAAUAUGUUGAGAGAAAACCAGCUACAGCCUGGCAUGGAAACUCCUGUUGUUCCAGCCAAUGCCUUGGAGAACCAGAGACCACGCCCCCUUCCUCCCUGCUGAGGAGUCAACGAACGAGACCAAAGUCCCCUGUUCUUCUCUGCAGUCAGCAGAAAUCAGAGAAGAACAUCUUUAGACAGUCAGCAGACUCAGGAACUGUGUACUCUAGGACUUUUUAAAAAUUUUUUUACUUUUAUUUUUUUGAGACGGAGUCUCGCUCUGUCGCCCUGGCUGGAGUGCAGUGGCGUGAUCUCAGCUCACUGCAACGUCCACCUCCCAGGUUCAAGCUAUUCUCCUGCCUCAGCCUCCCGAGUAGUUAGGAUUACAGGCGCCUGCCACCACACCCGGCUAAUUUUUGUAUUUUUAAUAAAGACAAGGUUUUGCCAUGUUGGCUAAGCUGUUCUCCAACUCCUGACCUCAGGUGAUCCACCUGUCCCAGCCUCCCAAAGUGCUGGGAUUACAGGCAUGAGCCACCGCACCCAGCCUGGGACUUUUUUAUUUUUACAGAGAUGGGUGAUGAUUCAUGGGACGUUGGAGAUGCCCCAAGACUGGAGAUAUGAUUUGGGGGAUCCUGAGGAUUGGUGACCUAGGCAAAACUUGGGGAGGCUGGAUCCUGGGUAUGGAGUAGCCAAUCUGAAUAAAGACCCCUGCGCCAAAGGUUGGCACAGAAAUAGUGGUCUUGCCAGCCUUCAGGGGAGGCCCACACCAGUCCUAGACUGCCUGCUUCUGGAAGGAAUCAACUCUUACAUGUUUAUGCCAUUUCACUUUGGGUUUUCUGUUCUAUACAGCUAAACCUAAUACUGGACUGAUACAUUAUUAUUAUUUUCAGAACCAACCAAAGCUGGAAUAACACUCUUGAUAAUGCCAGUUUCCUGGUCCUAGAAGUGAGCUAACAGGCUUUUCAGAGAUGACGAGAUGUGAAAUCCCUCACUGAUUCAUGCUUCAUGUGUUUAAUGAGCACCCACUAGGUGCUAAGCCUUGUUCUAGUCAGGAAUAAAACCGAUACUUCACGAGGUUUACAGCCUGGUGGAGGAGACGUGUAUCAGGCUAGUGCGUGUAGACCAAAGGCCAGAGGCGCCCACUCAAGCAUUUCCACCUACAUGAGAAUCCCAUAGUCUUUUUAGAAGAAUAGAAAUAGUAAGCCCUGAGUCACGACUGCAUUUGAAUGCCACCUUACCUGAAGUCUGAAUCAGGGAUAAUUUGAUUUCAGAAGAAUAAAAUGAGGCUCCUAACACCUGUCCCAAAUUGCAAGGAAAUGAGGGUAUUCUCUUUUUUUUUUUUUUUUCUGAGAUGGAGUCUCGCUCUAUCGCCCAGGCUGGAGUGCAGUGGCGCGAUCUCGGCUCACUGCAAGCUCCACCUCCCGGGUUCACGCCAUUCUCCUGCCUCAGCCUCCUGAGUAGCUGGGACUACAGGCGCCCGCCACCACGCCCAGCUAAUUUUUUGCAUUUUUAGUAGAGACGGGGUUUCACCGUGUUAGCCAGGAUGGUCUCGAUCUCCUGACCUCGUGAUCCGCCCGCCUCGGCCUCCCAAAGUGCUGGGAUUACAGGCGUGAGCCACCGCGCCCAGUUGAAAUGAGGGUAUUCUCUAAGAGGCAGAUGACAGAACCUACUGCAAUGAAUUUGUCAAGCUCAAGGCUAAGGACACAGUCCCUCCACAAGGCAGCCUUCACUUCAAAUGCCAGGUGCAACUGGGGAUUCCUGGGCCACCCUCACUUCUGACCGCUUGGCUGCAUUGAGGGUUCCCACUACCCCCUGUGGUUCAAUAAUUCACUAGAAUGACUCAUGGAACUCAGGAAAGUGCCCCGCCUCAUAACGACAGUUUUUAUGAUAGCAAACAGACACAGAUCAGAACCAGCCACAAGAAAGGACAUAGAGGGUGAGGUGCGGAAGGGGUUCAAGUGCAAAGCUCCUAGUUACCUUCUCUCCAGACAGUCACCUCCCCCCAGCUAUGAUGCGUGAUGACACUCAGAGAAUACUGCUAACCAGAGAAGCUCCUGAGGCUUUGGUGUCCAGCGUUUUUGGGGGUUUUGUUUUUGUUGUUGUUGUUUCUGAGAUGGAGUCUCGCUCUCGUCGCCCAGGCUGGAGUGCUGUUGCGUGAUCUCAGUUCACUGCAACCUCCACCUCCUGGGUUCAAGCGAUUCUCCCGCCUCAGCCUCCAGAGUACGAGUAGCUGGGAUUACAGGCAUGCACCAUGCCCAGCUGAUUUUGUAUUUUUAGUAGAGACAGGGUUUCACCAUGUUGGCCAGGCUGAUCUCAAACUCCUGACAUCUGGUGACCCGCCCCCCUCAGCCUCCUGAAGUGCUGGGAUUACAGGCAUGAGCCACUGCCAGCCAGUGUCCAGCGUUUUUUAGUGGGGCUUGAUCCCUUACUGCCAGUGUGGCUGACCUUUCAUCUCCAGUCUCUCCUGAGCUAACUCUUGUGUAUCCAGCUCAUCUGGAGGUUGGAACUGAUACAGGAUGUUCCAAAGCCUUCAUUACAGAUCACAUUGUUAGACUAUCUGGUGGCCAAAGGCCCCAGGCAAACACAGACACUUCCAUCAGACAGGACGUUAAGGGGCCUAGAGAUCACCUCCCAGCAACUGAAGGCAAAGAUAAUCCUCCUACUGUACAUCCUUUUUUUUUCUUUUUUUUUUUUUAAGAGACAGGGUUUCAUUCUGUCGCCCAGGCUGGAGUACAGUGACACACUCAUGGCUUGCUGCAGCCUCGACCUCCUGGGCUCAAGCAAUCCUCCUGUAGCUGGGACUACAGGUGUGCACCACCACACCCCGCCAACUAUACAUCCACCACCACCCUGUCCUCUCAGCCCCCAAAGUCAUGAGGCUUUGACUAGGUAUCAGGAUGUCUUCAAAUGAAAAUUAAUGAAAACAGCGGGCCCGGUGGCUCACACCUGUAAGCCCAGCACUUUGGGAGGCCGAGACAGGUGGAUCACCUGAGAUCGGGAGUUCAAGAACAGCCUGAUCAACAUGGAGAAACCCUGUCUCUGCUAAAAAUACAAAAAAAGUAGCUGGGCAUGAUGGCACAUGCCUGUAAUCCCAGCUACUUGGGAGGCUGAGGCAGGAGAAUUGCUUGAACCCGGGAGGUGGAGGUUGUGGUGAGCCGAGAUCAUGCCAUUGUACUCCAGCCUGGGCAACAAGAGUGAAACUUCGUCAAAAAAAAAAAAAAGAAAAAAAGAAAAGAAAAUUAAUAAAAACAAAAAUCCAAAGUUGGACACACACACAGAGAACACCUUAGGACAAUAGAGGUACACCGUGGAGUGCUGCAGCAGCAAGCCAAAGAUUGCCAAGGAUUACCAGAGACGUGAGACGUUGGAAAGGGCAAGAGUGGAAUCUCCCCUCUCCCCCAAGUUUGAGAGGGGGCCAAGCCUUACCGACACCUUAAUUUGAGGCCUCUAGUCUCUAGAAAUGCAAUGUGCAAGGCGGGGCGCGGUGGCUCACGCCUGUAAUCCCAGCACUUUGGGAGGCUGAGGCGGGCCUUAAGGUCAGGAGUUCAAGACCAGCCUGGCCAACAUGGUGAAACCCUGCCUCAAAAUGCAAAAAGUAGCCAGGCGUGGUGGCAUGUGCCUGUAAUCCUAGCUACUCAGGAGGCUGAGGCAGGAGAAUCACUUGAACCCAGGAGGCAGAGGUUGCAGUGAGCCGAGAUCACACCAGUGCACUCCAGCCUGGGCAACAGCGUGAGACUCCAUCUCAAAAAAAAAAAAAAGGGCCGGGUGCAGUGCUCACGCCUGUAAUCCCAGCACGUUGGGAGGCUGAGGUGGGAGGAUCACCUGAGGCCAGGAGUUCAAGACCAGCCUGGCCAAUAUGGUGAAACUCUGUCUCUACUAAAAAUUCCAAAAAAAUUUAGCAGGGUGUGGUGGCGCAUGCCUGUAAUCCCAGCUACUCGGGAGACUGAGACAGGAGAAUUGCUUGAACCCGGGAGGUGGAGGUUGCAAUGAGCUGAGAUGGCGCCACUGCACUCCAGCCUGGGAGACAGAGUGAGACUCCGUCUCAAAACAAAACAAAACAAAAAUGCGACGUGCAGUGAUGUGCUCCAGCUGGUGUGAUCCCCUUGGGGAUGUGGCAAUGGAUGGGCAUCCCCAGACUUGAUGAUCAUCCCUUUGUCUCUUACCAGCAAUCCCCAAACCAAUUCACAAGUUCUGUUUUGUUUUGGUUUGGUUUUUUGUUUGUUUUUUGAGACAGAGUCUCACUCUGUCGCCCGGGCAGGAGUGCAGUGACAUGAUCAUAUCUCACUGCAGCCUCAAACUCCCAGGCUCAAGUGAUCCUCCCACCUCAGCCUCCCUAGUAGCUGGGACUACAGGUGUGCACCACCAUGCCUGGCUAACUUUUUUCAUUUUUUGUAGAGAUGGGGGUCUCCCUAUGUUGCCCAGGCUGGUUUCGAACUCCUGGGCUCAAGUGAUCCUCCCAUCUCAGCCUCCCAAAGUGCUGGCAUUACAGGCGUGAG